AGGGACGGGACGCGGUGCAGUGU
Molecule: microRNA, 23 nt
Filed under: Pteropus alecto (black flying fox)
Lineage: Eukaryota; Metazoa; Chordata; Mammalia; Chiroptera; Pteropodidae
Description: pal-miR-92b-5p
Gene: pal-miR-92b-5p
Source: miRBase by way of RNAcentral